Molecule: long non-coding RNA, 330 nt
Filed under: Hordeum vulgare
Lineage: Eukaryota; Viridiplantae; Streptophyta; Magnoliopsida; Poales; Poaceae
Description: long non-coding RNA (HVUL_LNC008420)
Source: RNAcentral
GGACGCGGCGGUGCUGCUCCCGCCCCUGGACGCGGCCGUGACGUACCCCUCGUCGUCGUCCUCCUCCUCCUCCUCGGCGAUCUCGUGGGCGUCGGCGGCGAAAUCCGCGGGCAGGUCGGCGGAGCGGAGGGAGAGCGCGGCCAGGGCCUCGAUGGCCGGGGUUCCGUCGGCGGCGGCCGGAUCGGGGGCCGGAUCCAUGGCCGCGGAGGGGAGUGGGGGAGAGGGAGGGGGGGAGGUGGAGGUCGAUCUGUCACCGCUCAUCGGUUUAACUUGGAGGCCGGUCGGUUUGACUUGACCGACCGCUUGGUUUGGUACCCAGCACUGUGUUAU